UCCCAAGUCUCCCGGAAGUUCCGGGAGUCUCCCGCAUAUUGAUAGCGGCUCCCUGAUGCCCGCAAAUUAGUUAAAAUCUCCCGGAAUCUAGAGCGAGCGAGCAAGAGCGCGCAUAGAGACUGUGUUUCAAACCAGCGCGCGCACGGCAGAGAGGGAUAGGGAGCGAGAGAGAGACCUUGCGUGUGUGUGCGAAGCGCAUGUAUGACAGAGAGCGUCCCGAAUGUCCUUUUUCGGCAAAUCAACCAAUCAAUUAUCAGUGAGCCAAAGGAUAAUUUCUCUUUAAGGACCCCGUGACAGACGUUUUUUUUUCUGACGUCAUGACUCACGAGGCUUUCUCGAGUUUUCUGCUCGGCCACCAUUUUCUUUCCCCUGGACUCGGAUGAAUUAAGGAUCUAACAUAAAGCUCUUCAAUGUUUGACGACUAAGGACACAUUGCAAUAACUUUACAUGUGACAUUAGCCAUUGACAUUAAAUUAAUCACAGAAGAUCACAGUUCCAGCUAAAAAUCUUUACUGUUCUACUGAAGAAAUAAAAAAAAAGUCAACUUGGAUGGCCUGAUGACUGAAAACAUUCACCUGAGAAGUGUGUCCUGAAAGCCCUUAUCCUUUUCCUGAGAGAAAGUCCUGCAGACCUCAUCAAGGAGUACUUUCUGAGUUGAAUGAUAACCAGACAGAUGAUUGAGGAGCAGCUCACCAUGGCAAUGUUCAUUAUUUGGAAGGAGUGGGAGAACUUCAUGAACCAUCUGCUGACAUUGAGGGAGUUAAAGUUUUGAAUCAACUUACUUCAGUUACAUCAGCUUGUGCCCUGCUUCUAGGCCUACAGUUGGAAGCAGCUAUUCUCCUCUUGCCUGCACUGUUCAAGGUGGACCUGGGGUUGCUGUUUGACAUUGAGGGCCAUGCUCAGACCAGCCCUCCUGUCAUCCCAACACUUAAGAAAAUGCCUAAAGCCUGCGGGAGGAUCAUCUCAUGCAGUAUGACCACAUUUUGUUCAUGUUGGAUGGCCAGUUAAUCACAGAGUAGAGUGAGGACAUCUUGAUGGCACUGGGCCUCCUCCUAUGUGUAUAUUUUGCAUUUGGAAUCGAAUCCAAUCCAGUAUCCUAAAGGACUGAAAGACACUGACCUUUUUGAAGUGUGUUGUUUUGAAAUUGAAGGAUGCAGUCGGACUUCCUGUCACUGUAAAAUGAGUGUACAACUCAAUCUGUGAGUAGAAUUUCGGAGUCAAUAUUCUCUCUUGCUCCCUUUCUUAUGGUUUUAGUUCCAGUUUCUAUAUUGUUUUUGAAAUCAUGAAGGACUUACAAAAAUGUUAGUGCGCUGUUGACAGUGAAAGAAACUGCAGGACUUCAGAGCAUAACUCAGUAUGUAAAAACAGGAGUAUUGUCUUCAAAAAUGUACAUAUUUCAAGCUUGUUCCAUUAUUUUGUAUGUGUAUAAAAGGGGAGUAUAAUGUGAUGUGGUACAUGUAUAUUCCCUGACUUGUCAGCACUGAGUUUAUUUGCUGCUGAAAGAAAUAAAUUAAAAGGUUUUGAAAGUG
Long non-coding RNA from Megalobrama amblycephala (Wuchang bream), 1529 nucleotides. RefSeq lists it as uncharacterized. NCBI's taxonomy places the organism in Eukaryota, Metazoa, Chordata, Actinopteri, Cypriniformes, Xenocyprididae. The record is from RefSeq and is a predicted model, not a curated record. The transcript is spliced from 8 exons.